UUUGAAAGCAAAAGUAAGAAUGCAUUUUGUAUAAUGAAUAGAUCAUACCACUUCUGAGUUUCUUAAUCAUCAGCUAUUUAAAGCAAUGGUCAGAAACUAACUUCCCCCCCACUAGCCUUCUAUAGAGCCCUUUGAAAAUCGUUCAAAACCAAUCUAUCUAUCUAUUUGGUAUAAGCAUGGAGCUUUGUUGGCAAAAAUCCAUCCAUGGCUCUUAAAGAAGCUUGGAGGAUUUUGUGUGAGAGGGUUCUCACCCUUCACACUCCACCUCCUACAGUUUGCUUAUGCUUUAGCCAUUGGUUUCUCUAAUCAAUCACCACAAAAGGGUAUACAUGGAGGAACAUAAUUCUCUGAGUGGCAUGAAGCAGAGAAGCUAUGGCCACAUCUUAGCAAACCGGCAAGUCACAAAAAGGCAAUGGACUCUCUCUCAUUAAAGGGUCCUUAUGGCUAUGUAUGUAUUGAUUCUAUUGUAGUUCUUCUUCUUUGUUUCGGUAGAAUGUAUUAAUAAACAAAGAUGUUCUUCCUUUGAGAAGCUACAUACCAACUUGUGUUGUCCAUAACACUCAAUUUGCAGAUGACUAGAAUCAGGCUUUCUCUUCAGUUUCUGCAAAUGAGUAGGUAGGUAAUUAUGACCUUAUAUCAUAUCCCAUGUGUGUUAGUGUGUAUGCUUGCUAUGUUGUGACCUUAUAUGCAAUAAAAGAAUUAUGGUAGUGUUUUAGUUCCUUAAAGGGUAGGAUUAUGUUCUGUAGAAGUUGAUUGGUUAGAAAAGCUGCAAAGCCCUCCUAGAAAAGUUGUUAAAAGUCAACAAUGACCAAGCCCCUUUUUCACAAGUUUCUGAUAUUUUACUUACAUUGAAAGUAUUCCAGGAAACUAUAGGGAUAAAUAGUUUGUUUAUCUUUAUCAUGUACAUGUAUUCACAAAAAUGAAAAAUUUCUUUGCUAAAAUUACACGAAAGUCAAUGACUAAGAAAAAAUUCUUUGCUAAAAUUGAUACGGAAGUAAAUGACUAAUACCAUAUUGUUGGAGUAUAUAGAGGAUGAGUUCUAAUGGACACUAAAAAAUCGUUCAAGGGAGAAGCUGCCAUGAGACUCAUACCUGAAGAAAAAAAAUUUAGACUACAAAUGUAAGAUGAAAUCUUAUAUCGAAUAAAAUGAGAAAGUUAAACAUCAUAUAAGUAAGAAUAAAACCCAUAAAUUUAACCUUAAGAUUUUAAGUUAAAUUGUGAUGUCAAAUUCAUUUAAGUGUUAUUCAUGAUUUAUUUGUGUAAAUCUUUUCGAUCUUUAAAUUUUGAGGGCAACAAGUGAAAUUGAUUAAGGGUGCUAACUAAACAAUCUCUUUAGGUAGCCUAGACAUUUGCGUUCAAUGAAAAACAGUUAUUAGAAAAUUUAUCUAAACAAACUCAUCGUCUUCGUGGUGAUAAGAAAAAUCUCGAUGUCACGUUAGAUUUAUGUCAAGGAGAAGGAUGAAUAUUCAGUUGCUUCUGCUCUCUUAAUGGUUUAACCGUGGAUUAUACUGUUAGUUAGUUAAAAGUUUUAAGUUAAAAAAACUGCAAACUACUCUAAUCUCGCCAGUAGAAACACUUUAAUGGAAGCUCAAGCUCGUUCUGAAUACAAUUUAGGAACUUAGAAGAGAAUUUCAACAUUACCUAUUAUCCAC
This 1652-nucleotide long non-coding RNA is filed under the name Glycine max (soybean). RNAcentral describes it as "long non-coding RNA (GMAX_LNC001824)". The stretch from base 177 to 439 matches the Rfam family "Early nodulin 40". Lineage: Eukaryota; Viridiplantae; Streptophyta; Magnoliopsida; Fabales; Fabaceae. The record is from RNAcentral.